This 734-nucleotide ribosomal RNA is filed under the name uncultured bacterium. Its description in RNAcentral is "bacterial SSU rRNA". It matches the Rfam family "Bacterial small subunit ribosomal RNA", at positions 24 to 753 of the family's 1533-position model. The record is from RNAcentral.
UCAGAUUGAACGCUGGCGGCAUGCCUUACACAUGCAAGUCGAACGGCAGCACGGGGGCAACCCUGGUGGCGAGUGGCGAACGGGUGAGUAACAUAUCGGAACGUGCCCUGGAGUGGGGGAUAACUAGUCGAAAGACUAGCUAAUACCGCAUACGAUCUACGGAUGAAAGUGGGGGAUCGCAAGACCUCAUGCUCGUGGAGCGGCCGAUAUCUGAUUAGCUAGUUGGUGGGGUAAAGGCCUACCAAGGCAUCGAUCAGUAGCUGGUCUGAGAGGACGACCAGCCACACUGGGACUGAGACACGGCCCAGACUCCUACGGGAGGCAGCAGUGGGGAAUUUUGGACAAUGGGGGCAACCCUGAUCCAGCAAUGCCGCGUGAGUGAAGAAGGCCUUCGGGUUGUAAAGCUCUUUUGUCAGGGAAGAAACGGCGGGAGCUAAUAUCUCCUGCUAAUGACGGUACCUGAAGAAUAAGCACCGGCUAACUACGUGCCAGCAGCCGCGGUAAUACGUAGGGUGCAAGCGUUAAUCGGAAUUACUGGGCGUAAAGCGUGCGCAGGCGGUUGUGCAAGACCGAUGUGAAAUCCCCGGGCUUAACCUGGGAAUGGCAUUGGUGACUGCACGGCUAGAGUGUGUCAGAGGGGGGUAGAAUUCCACGUGUAGCAGUGAAAUGCGUAGAGAUGUGGAGGAAUACCGAUGGCGAAGGCAGCCCCCUGGGAUAACACUGACGCUCAUGCA